GGGCUCACUUCGGCAGCACAUAUUCUAAAAUUGGAAAGAUACAGAGAUUAACAUGGCCCCUGUGCAAGCAUGACACUCAAAUUCGUGAAGUGUUCCAUUUUUAA
RNAcentral lists this small nuclear RNA (104 nucleotides) under Sarcophilus harrisii (Tasmanian devil). Lineage: Eukaryota; Metazoa; Chordata; Mammalia; Dasyuromorphia; Dasyuridae. The record is from RNAcentral.